RNA transcript from Zea mays, 3747 nucleotides. It is a transcript of the gene named peptide methionine sulfoxide reductase, with no coding region annotated. The transcript is spliced from 3 exons. Lineage: Eukaryota; Viridiplantae; Streptophyta; Magnoliopsida; Poales; Poaceae. The record is from RefSeq and is marked validated.
CAACUUGGCCCAUACCUCUUCGAUCUCUCAGUCUCAAGUAUGGUAGCUUCGGCAGCGCUCCGCCGGGUCCGCUCCUCGCCGCACCUACGGCACGCCGUCGCGUACGUAUCUUACGGCAGCGCUGCUGCCACGUCCGCCGCCGUGGGGCUCGAGCGCGCACAGGAUCCAAACCGCCUCAUCGUUGACCUGGCUGCGGCGGGGCGCGUGUGGGACGCGCGCAAGCUGUUCGACGGAACGCCCGAGCGGGACGUGGUGUCCUGGACAGCGCUGGUGUCCGCGUACGCGCGGCGGGGGAUGCUGCGCGACGCGCGGUCGCUGUUCGACCGCUCCGACGCGCGCCGGAACGUGGUGACCUGGACGGCGCUCCUCUCGGGCUACGCACGCGCCGGCCUCGUCGACGAGGCCGAGGUGCUGUUCCAGCGGAUGCCCCAGAGGAACGUCGUCUCCUGGAACACGAUGCUGGAGGCUUACGCUGUGGCGGGAAGGGCGGGUGAUGCCUGCGCCCUGUUCGACCGCAUGCCAGUCAGGGAUGCCGGCUCCUGGAACAUUCUGCUGGCCAUGCUAGUGCGGUCGGGGAGCGUGGAUAAGGCGCGCGAGCUGUUUGGAAGAAUGCCGGAGAGGGAUGUAAUGGCUUGGACGACGAUGGUUGACGGCGUUGCGCGGAGCGGUAAUGUUGACGAGGCUCGAUUGUUGUUUGAUAGCAUGCCAGAGAGGAAUGUAGUUUCUUGGAAUGCCAUGAUAUCUGGGUAUACAAGAAACCACAGGCUUGACGAGGCACUGGAUUUGUUCACGAAGAUGCCCCAUAGGGAUAUUGCUUCUUGCAACAUUAUGAUCACUGGUUUUAUACAAAACAAAGAUUUGAAGAGGGCACGGAAGCUCUUUGAUGAAAUGCCAGAAAGGAAUGUUGUCACUUGGACGACCAUGAUGAAUGGUUACUUGAAAGGCAAGCAGAGCGAGCUGUCAUUGGGGUUAUUUAGGGGUAUGUUAAUGUCAGGUAUCAGACCAAACCAAGUGACAUUUUUGGGUGCACUUGAUGCAUGCAGCGAUCUGGCGACACUAUGUGAAGGGAAGCAGGUGCAUCAAAUGAUAUGCAAAACAGCAUUUCAGGUUGAUACUUUUGUCGGCUCUGCCCUGAUGAAUGUCUAUGCGAAGUGUGGUGAAGUUGGGUUGGCAAGAAAGUUGUUUGAUCUUUCAAGGGAGAAGGACUUGAUCUCUUGGAAUGGAAUUAUUGCGGCAUAUGCACACCAUGGUGUUGGCAUAGAAGCAAUCCACUUGUAUGAAAAGAUGCAAGGAAAUGGAUAUAGGCCUAAUGAUGUCACCUAUGUGGUGUUGCUCUCAGCAUGUAGCCACUCUGGUUUGGUUGACGAAGGGCUUAAGAUCUUCGAAUCAAUGGUAAAUGAUAGAUCAAUUGCAGUGCGUGACGAACAUUAUACUUGUUUGAUUGAUCUUUGUAGCCGAGCAGGACGACUUGAUGAUGCCAAAAGAUUAAUUCACUAUCUUAAGAUUAAGCCUGCAUCAGGUUCUGUCUGGAGUGCCCUUCUAGGCGGGUGUAAUGCACAUGGAAAUGAGAGCAUUGGCAAUUUGGCAGCUAGAAAUCUCAUACAAGCAGAACCUGAUAACGCUGGAACCUAUACUCUCCUAUCCAAUAUCUAUGCUUCAGCUGGUAAGUGGAAAGAAGCAGCAGAAAUUAGGUCAGAGAUGAAUAAUCGAGGACUAAAGAAACAACCUGGUUGUAGUUGGAUAGAGGUGGCAAAUAAGGUUCAUGUGUUUGUAGCACGUGAUAAGUCUCACAGUGAAUCUGAUUUAAUCUAUGGUUUGCUGCAAAAUAUCCAUUACAUGAUGAGGAUUGUUGGAACUGUCCCCAGUGACCUUGUGCAUGUUGAUGAGGAAUUGAUGAUGUAGUGUAUAUUCAGUUACAAGCUGAAGUAUUUCAUUUCAACUGUAUGGAUUCAGUCAAACAAAGUAACAUCCAGCAUUCAAUCUAAGGGCAACCCUACGAAAACAUCAGGUAGCAAUUCCACUUACAUCACUUUGAGGAUACAAGUACAGUGUAUUCGCAAAAAAGGUACAGUGCUUUAUGCUACUAUGUUUCAUCUAUUUCCUGUUUGCACUUAUAUGGCUGGAUUUUGAUGCUAGAAAUUUGAACUGUGGCGCAAGCCAUUCCUCCUGCAAUUGAUUGGCAAUAUGUCAGAAGAGGAUCUCUUGACAUGAACACUAGCUGCAAAGCUGAAUGCAUAUACUGCUGAACUCUGCGCUGCAAAUAUGCAAAAGAGAAUUAGCUCCAGGAUUGAUGAGAUCUCAAAGAAAGGAUGGCUCAUCUUGAGGGAAAUUUAGAUCUAUUGUUACAAUACAGAAACAAGAGAACUGCAUGAUUCUGCUGAAAAAAAGGAGUAGUUCGGUUGUUCACCAUUGCCAUGAUGGCCUCAGUCAUCCUUUCUUCACUUUGCUCACACAUGGUACAUCCUGGAUACGAUCAUACGAAAUCUAGCUUUUGGAAACAUUUGGAGCUGUUUUAACUGCUCGACCGAAGAGACCUCUCUUUAUCUUCGUUAGGCCCAAAGGUGCUUUAACAAGCCCAUUAAUGGGACCACCUUUUGGUCCAUACGGCCCGACUGCCUACCGGCCCACCAGCACCAACCGUCCGACACUUCGUCCCUUCGAGUAGCCCCCACAGGGCCACACUGCCGAGCAGCAAACCAACCAGCCCACCCGCCGGUUGGUCACGCUCCUCCCCGAUCCCGAAUUCCCGAUCUCCGGCCGACGCCAUGGCAGCCCCCUCCGCGGCCGUCAUAGGGGUGCUCGUCCUCCUCGUCGUGGGGGCCUCGGGCGCGCGCCUCCCAGGCCGCGGCAGCACCACCCGGGGAGCUGCGCUGCCGCGCGGGGGAGCGCCGGCCACGGCGGUGUUCGCGCUGGGAAGCUUCUGGCGGUCGGAGGCGGCGUUCGGGUGCCUCCACGGCGUGAUCCGCACCUCCGUCGGCUACGCUGGCGGCUCCAAGUCCAACCCCGAGUACCGCAACCUCGCCGACCACGCCGAGUGCGUCAAGAUCUGUCAUCUUCACUAAUGGAACCAUCGAGGCCAGAUUGGCUGGUCUUAGCAAAGAAAAAGAACAAGCUAAAGACCGUAGCAGCGUUGUUACCACACAGAUCCAACCAUUGGGGGUCUUUCAUCAUGCUGAACCAGAACAUCAGAAAUUUGAACUGAAGCGUAAACCGUUCCUCUUGCAAUUGAUUGGGAAUUUGCCGGAGGAGGAGCUCCUGACAUCAACACUAGCUGCAAAACUGAAUGCAUAUGCCGCUGAGCUCUGCCCUGUGAAUACCCAAAAGAGAAUUAACUCCAAGAUUGAUGAGGUCACAAAGAAAGGAUGGCCCAUUUUAAGGGACAUUUAACUCUUUCUAGCUUUUGGACUGAAACCGAUCGAUGCAAUGUAGACACAGAAGAGGUGCAUGAUUUUGCAAAGAAGAUUUUUAGGAAUAUUUCAGCUGUUCGCCACUGCCAUGAUGACCUCAAUCAUCCAUUCUUCAUUUUGCUCACAAAGAUUAUAUAGUUGGUCAUAACAUGUCGUUGUGUUACUAUAUUUGUAACGCAUAUUCAUGGUUCGAAGCUUACUCAACAGACAACUUUUUUUCGUAUUGUUUGUUUUUCAUUUAUGAAAAUAUAGAUGUUUUGUUUUUAUUUAAUAGGUAUUGUGCAUGUUGUGACUGAUGUUGUACUAGUAAAUUGCUCGCGCAAAGUACUGUUAAAUUGAA